UCUCAGUUCGGAUUGGAGUCUGCAACUCGACUCCAUGAAGCUGGAUUCGCUAGUAAUCGCGCAUCAGCCACGGCGCGGUGAAUACGUUCCCGGGCCUUGUACACACCGCCCGUCAAGCCAUGGAAGCCGGGAGUGCCUGAAGUGCGUGACCGCAGGGAACGCCCUAGGGUAAAACCGGUGACUGGGGCUAAGUCGUAACAAGGUAAC
RNAcentral lists this ribosomal RNA (207 nucleotides) under uncultured bacterium. RNAcentral describes it as "partial 16S ribosomal RNA". It matches the Rfam family "Bacterial small subunit ribosomal RNA", at positions 1286 to 1500 of the family's 1533-position model. The record is from RNAcentral.